Molecule: ribosomal RNA, 465 nt
Filed under: uncultured bacterium
Lineage: Bacteria
Description: partial 16S ribosomal RNA
Rfam family: Bacterial small subunit ribosomal RNA
Source: RNAcentral
CCUACGGGAGGCAGCAGUAGGGAAUCUUCGGCAAUGGACGAAAGUCUGACCGAGCAACGCCGCGUGAGUGAAGAAGGCUUUCGGAUCGUAAAACUCUGUUGGUAGAGAAGAACGCUGGUGAGAGUGGAAAGCUCAUCAAGUGACGGUAACUACCCAGAAAGGGACGCCUAACUACGUGCCAGCAGCCGCGGUAAUACGUAGGUGCAGAGCGUUGUCCGGAUUUAUUGGGGGAAAAGCGAGGGCAGGUGGGUUAUUAAGUAUGGUGUAAAAGGCAGUGGCCCAACCAUUGUAUGCAUUGGAAACUGGUAGACUUGAGUGCAGGAGAGGGGAGUGGAAUGCCAGGUGUAGCGGUGAAAUGCGUAGAGAUAUGGAGGAACACCGGUGGCGAAAGCGGCUCUCUGGCCUGUAACUGACACUGAGGCGCGAAAGCGUGGGGAGCAAACAGGAUUAGAUACCCUGGUAGUC